UCUGACCGACAACCGGAGCGCCGGACUAAUGCUGACUGCACGGCCUCUCCGCCUCUGGCCUCAAACUUUUUGCUCAACUUCGCCGCCAGGCGCCGCGGUGCGGGAAGGGCGCUGUGCCCCUGCGCCCGGCCUGGCCACACCCCGCGCUCCCCGCGCUGGCGGGGGUGGAACCGGCUCCUGGCGUGGCCUGGCCUGCCCGCACCCCCGCCCCCGGCAUCACCCCGCCGCCUUCCGCACGGUCAGCGCCCGCGGCUCGGCCACGCGCAGACGCUUGGCUGGGUCCCGGAACGCGGUCACGCGCGCCCGCCGCUCAGACUGGGCGACCUGCGAGAAGGCGGUGCCGCCGCGGGGCCGGAGUCGGCAAGGCGCAGAGCCCCGGGUCCGGCCACGAGCGGCGCGCCCCGAGCUCAGCGUCCCGGGCGCGCAAGGAGGAAACCAUCGAGGCUCACCUGGGCGAGAGAAGCUGCCCGGCAGCAGGCGAUCCUGGCCCACGCCCCUCACCCGCCAGAGGGGAGCCUGGCGGUGUAAACAAGGUCUAGGGGUCCCCGUCGGGAUUGGAGAGCCGCACAACGGGAGAGUGGCCCCCGCCGCCUCCCGGCCCCACCGGCUCAGCGGGAGGAUGCAAGCGCCCCGGGAGUCUUCACUUCGACGGAGGCAAACGGGGACACGUGUGUCAGUGUGUGUAUCGGCAAACAUGGCGGGUCUGCACACGGAAUUCCUCAAGAAGUGCUUGCGGGCUGACCUCUCCCAACGGCAUCCCCCUGGCAGAUGCAGCAGGACGGCUAGAAGGGGGGGCUGCACCCGGGUGCCAGGUGGCCACUGUGCUGAUGCGGAGAGACCGGAAGGGCACGGUCUGACACCCGACCUCCUCCUCGCUGGGCACGGCAGGCUGACGGGUCCCGGGAGGGAGGGACAGAUGGCUCCGAUGCAGAGUUAAAACGAGAGAGACACAGCGAGAGAGGGAACACAAGCCGCGGGAGUGGGAGAGGGAGAGGCAGGCCUCCCGCUGAGCAGGGAGCCCGAUGCAGGGCUCGAUCCCACGACCCCGGGAUCAUGACCCGAGCCGAAGGCAGACGCUUAACGACUGAGCCACCCAGGCGCCCCCACACAGUACUUCCUGACAUCAGUCGGAUUUCUAACACCCUGACCAUGUUUCUGUAAUGACUGUUUUGGAAUAGCAGUUUGGAAAUUUAUGGAGGAAUGGAAAAGAGGAAGACAUUGUCAGGUGGGGAAGGGAAGGGAGGGGCUGAAAUGCUCUCACACCAAAGGUUAGCUGGCUUAUGACUUGGUACUAUGCAUGAGCCGGAAUCUGGGCUUGCGUUGCUGUUUGCCUUCUGUCUUUCCACCAGCCCGGAUACCCCACUUGUGUGAACCCUUCCUGGGCAAUCACUAGAAGGAAUUAAUUUUUCAUCCAAGAAAGGAGCAUAUGUGUCUGAAAGCACAGAUUCCCUAGGGAAGUGUUCCAGUUAUCUGUGUCUGAGUAAUAAAUCACCCAAAAAACGUAGUGGCUUGAAGCAAUAAUUUAUUGGGUUCACCGUGAGUUGACAAGGCUCAGAUGGGUGGUCCGCACUUGGGGACUCAUGUGCUUACAGGGGCAAUGGGCUAAAUGUCUGCGAUGCCUCUCUCAUGCAGUGACGGUUGUGGCUGGCUGUCAGCGAAGACUUCAGCUGGGGCUGUCAGCCAGAGCAGCGCCCUGUGGUCUCUCCAUGUGACAUGGCCGCUGGGUUACAAGAGGGAGUGUCUCAAGAGCAUUCAUUCCAAGAGAUCCAGGCAGAAGCUGCGAGGCUUCUCGUGCCCCAGCCUUGGAAAUCCCAGAACCUCACGUGUACCACAUUCUACUGCUCAAGCAAAUCACUGAGUCCUGCUCAGAUUCCAGGGAAGGGGAUUAGGGCCCCUGCCUAUGGCAUGAGGAGCGGCAUCAGCUUACAGACAGGGAAGGAAUUGAUGGCGGCCAUCUUGGGAGAGUCUUGGUUACUUACCUCAGGAAACCCGUCUGAUCCUUGAGUGUCCAGACCCGCUGAAUGUUUCCUGCAAGAACGAAACCGCUCUGCUCAGCACAAGGCCUCAGCAAGCUGAGACGGAAUGAUCUCUAUUUCUAAAAAUAAUACCAACUUGGAUCUCGGAGCUGAUUCUCUCUAUAGGACACCAGAAACCAUGCUGGGGGCAAGAGCAAAAUACUGAGCAG
Molecule: RNA transcript, 2185 nt
Organism: Zalophus californianus (California sea lion)
Lineage: Eukaryota; Metazoa; Chordata; Mammalia; Carnivora; Otariidae
Gene name: translation initiation factor IF-2-like
Exons: 6
Source: RefSeq, a predicted model, not a curated record